ACGCUGGCGGCGUGCCUAAUACAUGCAAGUAGAACGCUGAAGCUUGGUGCUUGCACCGAGCGGAUGAGUUGCGAACGGGUGAGUAACGCGUAGGUAACCUGCCUCUUAGCGGGGGAUAACUAUUGGAAACGAUAGCUAAUACCGCAUAAAAGACGAAUAUCGCAUGAUAUUGAUUUGAAAGGUGCAAAUGCAUCACUAAAAGAUGGACCUGCGUUGUAUUAGCUAGUUGGUGAAGUAACGGCUCACCAAGGCGACAAUACAUAGCCGACCUGAGAGGGUGAUCGGCCACACUGGGACUGAAACACGGCCCAAACUCCUACGGGAGGCAGCAGUAGGGAAUCUUCGGCAAUGGGGGCAACCCUGACCGAGCAACGCCGCGUGAGUGAAAAAGGUUUUCGGAUCGUAAAGCUCUGUUGUAAGAAAAAAACGAGUGUGAGAGUGGAAAGUUCACACUGUGACGGUAACUUACCAGAAAGGGACGGCUAACUACGUGCCAGCAGCCGCGGUAAUACGUAGGUCCCGAGCGUUAUCCGGAUUUAUUGGGCGUAAAGCGAGCGCAGGCGGUUAGAUAAGUCUGAAGUUAAAGGCUGUGGCUUAACCAUAGUACGCUUUGAAAACUGUUUAACUUGAGUGCAGAAGGGGAGAGUGGAAUUCCAUGUGUAGCGGUGAAAUGCGUAGAUAUAUGGAGGAACACCGGUGGCGAAAGCGGCUCUCUGGUCUGUAACUGACGCUGAGGCUCGAAAGCGUGGGGAGCGAACAGGAUUAGAUACCCUGGUAGUCCACGCCGUAAACGAUGAGUGCUAGGUGUUGGGUCCUUUCCGGGACUCAGUGCCGCAGCUAACGCAUUAAGCACUCCGCCUGGGGAGUACGACCGCAAGGUUGAAACUCAAAGGAAUUGACGGGGGCCCGC
Molecule: ribosomal RNA, 910 nt
Filed under: uncultured bacterium
Lineage: Bacteria
Description: bacterial SSU rRNA
Rfam family: Bacterial small subunit ribosomal RNA
Source: RNAcentral